This 437-nucleotide ribosomal RNA is filed under the name uncultured bacterium. RNAcentral's name for it is "bacterial SSU rRNA". It matches the Rfam family "Bacterial small subunit ribosomal RNA", at positions 30 to 467 of the family's 1533-position model. The record is from RNAcentral.
AUUGAACGCUGGCGGAAUGCUUUACACAUGCAAGUCGAACGGCAGCACGAGAGCUUGCUCUUGGUGGCGAGUGGCGAACGGGUGAGUAAUAUAUCGGAACGUAUCCAAUAAUGGGGGAUAACUAAUCGAAAGGUUAGCUAAUACCGCAUACGCCUACGGGGAAAGCAGGGGAUCUUCGGACCUUGCGUUAAUGGAGCGGCUGAUAUCUGAUUAGCUAGUAGGUGAGGUAAAGGCUCACCUAGGCUUCGAUCAGUAGCUGGUCUGAGAGGACGACCAGCCACACUGGAACUGAGACACGGUCCAGACUCCUACGGGAGGCAGCAGUGGGGAAUUUUGGACAAUGGGCGCAAGCCUGAUCCAGCCAUUCCGCGUGAGUGAAGAAGGCCUUCGGGUUGUAAAGCUCUUCGUCAAGGGAAGAAACGAUACCGACGAAUAAU